AGUGAACGCUGGCGGUAGGCCUAACACAUGCAAGUCGAACGGCAGCACAGUAAGAGCUUGCUCUUACGGGUGGCGAGUGGCGGACGGGUGAGGAAUGCAUCGGAAUCUACUUUUUCGUGGGGGAUAACGUAGGGAAACUUACGCUAAUACCGCAUACGACCUACGGGUGAAAGCAGGGGAUCUUCGGACCUUGCGCGAUUGAAUGAGCCGAUGUCGGAUUAGCUAGUUGGCGGGGUAAAGGCCCACCAAGGCGACGAUCCGUAGCUGGUCUGAGAGGAUGAUCAGCCACACGGGAACUGAGACACGGUCCAGACUCCUACGGGAGGCAGCAGUGGGGAAUAUUGGACAAUGGGCGCAAGCCUGAUCCAGCCAUACCGCGUGGGUGAAGAAGGCCUUCGGGUUGUAAAGCCCUUUUGUUGGGAAAGAAAAGCAGCAGGUUAAUACCCCGCUGUUCUGACGGUACCCAAAGAAUAAGCACCGGCUAACUUCGUG
This 492-nucleotide ribosomal RNA is filed under the name uncultured bacterium. Its description in RNAcentral is "partial 16S ribosomal RNA". It matches the Rfam family "Bacterial small subunit ribosomal RNA", at positions 29 to 507 of the family's 1533-position model. The record is from RNAcentral.